UUUAUCGGAGAGUUUGAUCCUGGCUCAGGACGAACGCUGGCGGCGUGCCUAAUACAUGCAAGUCGAGCGAACAGAUGGGAGCUUGCUCCCUGAUGUUAGCGGCGGACGGGUGAGUAACACGUGGGUAACCUGCCUGUAAGACUGGGAUAACUCCGGGAAACCGGGGCUAAUACCGGAUGGUUGU
RNAcentral lists this ribosomal RNA (184 nucleotides) under Bacillus velezensis. RNAcentral's name for it is "partial 16S ribosomal RNA". It matches the Rfam family "Bacterial small subunit ribosomal RNA", at positions 1 to 180 of the family's 1533-position model. Lineage: Bacteria; Bacillati; Bacillota; Bacilli; Caryophanales; Bacillaceae. The record is from RNAcentral.